Ictidomys tridecemlineatus (thirteen-lined ground squirrel) is the source of this 9255-nucleotide non-coding RNA. The record is from RefSeq and is a predicted model, not a curated record. Lineage: Eukaryota; Metazoa; Chordata; Mammalia; Rodentia; Sciuridae.
UCACCCUGGGGCAGGAGAGAGGACAGGGACCAUCAGGACACGGUCUAGUUUCUCCCCAGGUGUUGGGAAGGGAACCAGGGAGGACUUGCUGCUCUUAGAAAGACAGACUUUGCCAAUUGAAAUGGGUGCUCUGUACAUCAACAUUCAAGUCUAGAGGUGGUCCUAGAUCUCACACUCACCCCCCCCAAGCAGCCCAUUCUCUCCUCACUUGGGGUGGGACACUUGAGUAGCAUCAGUUCAGGGGCUGGAGUGGCACAGAGAUUAUCCAGCCACCCUAUCUGGGCUUAAUGAGAGGCCCAAAGCUUUUCUACUGAAGCAGCGGCUGGGAGAGCAGGGGCUGGGAGAGCAGGGGUAGGGGCUGGGAGAGGGGUACCCCCCCUAUGCUGAGGUACUGACCAGCAAUUCCCAGUCGGCAUCAUUAAUCAGCACCAGAAUUCCUGGUCGCCUGUGGAAAAGAUGGCAUAAGUAGCAAGGAUUGAAAGGCAGAAGACUCUAGAGUCUUUGGGCCGUAGGAGAAGAGGCAGCCCUUCUUUCUGAGGUUUUGGUUAAAUAUCUGCCAGGCCAGGCGCAGUGGCACAACCUAUAAUCCCAGUGGCUCUGGAGGCUGAGGCAGGAGGAUCAGGAAUUCAAAGCCAGCUCAGCAAAAGAGAGGCAACUCAGUGAGACCCUGUCUCACAGGUCAGUGGUUGAAUGCCCCUGAGUUCAAUCCCCAGUACUCCCCCCCCAAAAAAAAAAUCUUAAAAGUAGAGGAACCCAGGUAAAGGAACCCAGGUCAGAAGGCCUGGUCUUGAGGGCCAGAUGGAAAGUGUAUGCAAGUACCAAUACCAUUACCCAGACCUUAGGCAAAUUAUUUUGUUUCUCUGCACAUCAGUUUCUUUUUAUUUUUUUAGUGGUACUGGAGACUGGCCCAGGGACUUGGGCAUGUUAUAGGCAAGUGCUCUAUCACUGAGCUACAUCCCAGGGCCAUUUUUGGAUUUUAUUUUGAGACAAGGUCUCAUUAAGCUGCUAAGGCUAGCCUCAAACUUGAGAUGCUCUUGUUUCAGCCUCCUGAGUAGCUGAGGUUACAGGCAUAAGCUGCUGCACCCAGCUGCACAUCUGUUUCUUCAUCUGAAAAUGGGGUAAGCAGGCGCCUGAGUCACAGGUGUGCCCAAGGAUGCAAAGAGAUACAAAGGGCUUGCUGGCCACACUGUCAUGAUAACUGGAGAAGCAGCAUACUUUUCCUGGGGUUUAAUCUUAGUAUUUUAGGCCCCAGAUAGGAAGAACUCCAGCUUCAAGGCCCCCCACAUGCCCAUGCUUCCCCUUGAGAGGAGGCUACCUUAGCUCUUAUAGAUCAGGGAUGGUUGCCAGCGGGACCUGAAUGCUCAAGAGUAGCUCUACCUCAGAUCCACAAGGCAGCUUAGCUGGCUCCUACUGGCAGUAGCCCAAAGGGCACUGCUAUUCUCGCAGGUGGCCUCUGGGACUGCUGCACCAGGGUCUGAACCAGAGGCCCUGGGGGGCACCCCUAGCCCUCAGGAACUGAAGGAGCCUCACAACUGUGUUACCUGCCUCUUUUACUUAAGCUUGAAGAGGCCUUGUUAGAAGUGACGUGACUCCCUGGCACAUGGAAGCUGGUCCUUUGCCAUCAGGCUGGGCUAGGCUGGGUGAGAGAGGUAGGAAAGCUUUGGACUUUUAUAGGGUAUCCAUAAUGAGAGAUUAAAUGUGUGUUCCUGAGAGGGUACAUGCAUGCAGUUAAUGACCCCUGGAAUCUGAGACCUGUGUGUCCCAUAUAGUACCUACUGGCCAUAUGUUGCUAUUUAUAUUAUAAUGAAAUAAAAUGGAAUGUUUAGUUCCUCACUCACACUAGCUGCACUACAAGAGCUCAACAGCCCCAUGUGGCAGCAGUUACCACACUGGACAGCACACAUAUGGAACAUCUCCAUCACUGCAAAAAGUUCUAUGGGAUAGCACUGUCCUAGAUAGUUCAAUGACAAGAGGGACCUUGAGCAGCAUCUUUUUCUUAGAAUUUUCUGUAUAUAGAGAGUAAUGGAGGCCCAAAGAAGCAAAGUAACUUGCCUCAGAUUUCACAGCAAGUUUGUGGCUGCCAGAAGGUGUAACUGGAUUUUUUGGAGAAAUUCACCAGGCUCCUUUCAUCACGUGUGUGUUGCCCAGGUCUUGUGCAUGAGAGGCAGGCACUCUACCAACUGAGCUGUGUCCCCGGCCCCUUGUGAGGGCUUUUAACAAAUUCCGGACAGUCUAGUGUGGUAUCAAGAAAACUGAAAAUCGACCUCAGACAGAACUGGAUAGCUCUUUUCUCAGAGGAGACAGGGAGAACAAAGAGGGAACAGGACCUAGAGGAGGCUGAGACUGAACCCAAGGAUAGGGGCCCAGACGUCCUUCCCACCCUGUCUUCUUCAGGGAAGAGAGGAAGGGACUCACACACUGUCUCCCUGGAGGAACAGCUCUGGCCGCUCUUUUAGCAAAUUCUUCUUGAUCCAGAUGAGGAGAUUCCGGAUGUCCCCUGGAGAGGAAGACACAACUAAUAUCAAACCCAGACCCAUAAGAUGCCAGUGACUGGUCAAAGCCCUCAGGACAACCUGGGAGUAAGGAAUCACAUCCUGAGGCCACGUGUGCUAGCAGGCAGACUCCUACUCAUGGCACUGGGGAGGAAGAUGGAUACUUAAUGCCAAGGUGUCCAGCAUAGAAGACCUUGUGGCCUGGCCUGCCUGCUGGGGGAGGGCAAGUGAAGACAGCUGCUGCUCUGUGGAAGAGUGGUUAAGAGUUCCCCCUCUGGAGUCAGAGGGAACUUAGCUGUGGGCUGGAUGGCCUUGAGUAGGAAGUCACUUGACCUCUCUAAGUCUUGAUGUCAUCUACCUUUCAACAAAUGGGAACAAUAAUCCACACUUCAAGAAGGCUAUGUGAGAAUUAAGGUAUAGCCUAGAAGCAGGCCACAGAGCGUGAAGCACACAGGACACGCUGAACAGACAUGUGCCACAGGAGCACAUGGCAUGUCCAUCCUAGCAGGCUCCUGGGAAAGCUUCCACCAAAAUCCUUGCCCCAGUGACUUCUCCUUGUCUGGGGUAUACAUGCUGCCCAAUAUGGCAGGGCCACCAAGGGUGUCAACCCCAGGCUCUUGGGGCUGAAAAAGAACAACCUCAAGGUCCCAUCUGACAUUGAAUCCUGCCUGCAACAGACUCUCAUUCAGCCUCCUUGAACACCUCAGGGGCAGGAGGUCACUCCCAAGGAGUUGUGCUUCUCCAACAGAAGCAAGUUUUCCAGCCACUCCCAUCCACUGGGCCUGUUGGUCCACAGGGCCCACGCCAACAAUAUGACCCUUGUCCCCAUAACAGCCCUUCAGAUUUAGGAGAUCCUGGAAUCCCCUAAAUCUUCCCUUCUGUAGAUUAUACCUUCCUGUCCCCACCAAGGCUCCAAGACAGGGUUCUUCUGGGAGCCCACCCCAGGCCUAAAUUGAAAGGGAGAAGAAAGAGCUGGCAUAGGGGGAGUGAAAGAGAAGAGGGGUGGAGGGAACCUCUGAGGCUCCAUUUACAAAUGAAUGGGGUAAGAAUGGAGCAGUUUGUGGGCUAAACUGGCCUCAGAAGGAGGUUUACAGAUGUGCGAGGGGACGCUCCUCAUUGUUUAAUUAAGCAGAAAGUGGAUCUUUUCAAAAGCAAUUUUGCACAGGGACUGGGAGGGGUGGGAGGAGAGGAGGGAGGCAGCGAGGGGAUCAGCAAACAGGCCCCAAGAGCAGAGAAAGGAACAGCUGGCCCCAGAGAGGCUGUGAAAUGAAUGCUAAGCAGUUUAAAGCGCCCAGAAGCUCUGCUCAGCUCCUCCCCUCCUUCACCAGCCACCCUUUAAUGUGAAUCAGCAGGAAGAGGGGGCAUGCGGGUGGGGCAAGAAAGGUGAGGCAGUCUCCUUCCUACAGGGGAAGGGGCUGGGAGCCUGGAGUUGAAGGGAUCCUUGAGUCAUAAAGGCCAGCAGCCAAAAUGGCCAGACGGUGGUUGGUGCCUGCCCCCAAAAUCCCCUCCAAUUAAGGAGAUGAUGACAGUUAACACACACACACCACUCGCCUCUUGCAAACACAUACUUGUAACUACUUGCUGGGUCUACACAUCCUACUUCACAAAAGGACAUAUACUUACAUCUGGAACCAACUUUUCCAAAUUGGAGUUGUUCAACAGAUAUCAGGCUCAAUAAAGAGUGGAGUUGGCCCAUUUUCCAUUCUACACAUGGGGAGAGAGAGGUUGACCGAAGCCACUAAUGUGCAAUGCACACUGCCAGGGCUCCUCUCUUGGAGUUUCAUCCCCUUUGGCCUCUCCUGUCCUCUUACCAUGUGGGGUGGGUUGGAAGUUCUCCCCUGGCCCAGGACUCACAGGUCCCCUUUUUUUGUGAGACUUAUCAUAGUCUACAGUUUUUUUUUUUCUUUUUCUUUUAAUACUGGGAAUUGAGCCCAGGAGCAUUCUACCUCUGAGCUACCUCCAAACCCUUUUCAUUUUGACCAGGGUCUCAUUAAGUUUCCAAGGCUAGCCUUGAACUUAUGAUCCUCCCGCCUCAGACUCCAGAGUUGCUGGGAUUGCCACCAUGCCUAGCAGUCACAAUCUGUGAUCCAUGGCUCUUGCUAUUUCAGCUGGAGUAUCUAAGACCUGCUUGGCCAAGUGGCAGCCAGGGCUGGGAAGGUUGCCAGAUGACAGAUCUGGGCAUGGGUUGGGGAGAGAAUAUAAGACUUCUCUAGCAGUAUCAGGCCCCUUGGGUUCAUGAGUGCCAGAGUAAGGCCUGGCAACUGCAAACUAACUCUGUGGCUGCAAUGUGACCUGUGCCUCUGGACACCGCAGGUCACAAAUGGGGACCAAGAGUGAGCAAUAGGGGCAUCUUGCCUUCCUUCCCUGGGUUGAUGGGCCUCCAUGUUUUGCUAUCUGGCUGAGGAAUGAAGGAACAGAAACCUGAGUCCUAGCUCCUAGCCCAGCUUCCCUACCUAGGUAAUUGUGGACAGGUCUCAGGUCCCUCCUCCUUAGUCUGUUUUCCUUCCCUCUGAGGUCUGACUUCCUUGGUGAUAGGAUCUAUCAGGGUCAUAACAAAAGUUAAACUAAAUAACCAAUGAGGGUCAUGAGUGAAAAUAACAGUGUAAAAACUGGAAAACAGGUCUUGGGUGUGAUAAGUCAGGGUGAUUCAGGGAGCCUCUUGGAACAAAUGAUGGCUUAAUGCCUGGACUGCAGAGACCCUGCGGUCUGGGUGUGCUUCACUUAAGUAAUUAUAUGAAGAAGAUCCCUUUUUCACUUUAACUUAUUUAUGUAUUUUUUGGUAAUGCUGAGAUUCAAACUCAGGGUCUCCUGCAUGCCAGGUAAGCUCUCUACCACUGAGCUACACCCCCAGCCCAGUUUCGGCCUUUAAAAAUUGAAAUAAUAGGAGCUAUCGCCUAAGAAUGUGGGAAAAUGAUCUACAAAACCUACUGAGACUUUACCUGCCACUCCAAACUCAGCCUGUGCCCCCUUAAUCCUGGCCUUCCUUCAGCACUCUACCCAGACCAAGGCUUUUUGCCCCUUGGAGUUUUCCCAAGUGCUGUCUCCCUGCCUGGAAAGGCCCAGGCCUCUUUGCUCUCUCCCUGCAGUUUAUCAGGUUGGCUUCCUUCCAUUCUUCAGUCCUUCACUCAACCUCACCUCCUUGAAUUGAAGAGGCCUUCCCUGACCACUUGUUAGUCCCAUUCCAAGCACCUAUGUGCUCUUCUCAUGCCAAUCACUGGAGUCUAUGAUGGUACAGUUUUAUGUUUGUUUCCUUAUUUACUGCCGGCUCCAUUUGAAUGCCACAGUUAACUUCAUGAAGACAAGAACCCACCCAGCAACCAGUGCACUGAAGGCACCAGUGCAAAAGGAGGCAAUCAAAAAAUAUUGCCAACUACAUGAAAGAAUUAAGUACUUCCUACCAUUCAUUCCUGGCACUUGCUGAGUACUCUGUCGAUGAAUGAAUGAGAUGAAGCUAGAAUGGUGAAAACUAGUGGGCUUUCAUGCCAAGCAAACUUAAGAGGAAAUAAAUCAUAAUGUGCUAUUUUAAUAAACUUCCAGGAAAGAUCUUUGAGAGGCUUUAUCUGAGAACCCUUGCUUCCUCUCAAGGCUGCCAAGGUUGCGUGGCCAUCUGCCACACUAAGAAACAAGGAUCUAUCAUCUGAGGGUCCCCGCUACCCCCAGAAAGGACACAAAAUCUUACUAUCCUGCCGUUUUAACACCAACUACACACAGCCCCAGCUCAAGGUGAGCAGUACCCUGAUUCUGGAUAAAUGUCCCCCAGCCUCUAAGAAUGGCAGGGAGCCAGGGACCCAAAGGAGGGCCAGAGAUGGCCAUGGCAACCAGUGGAUUUGGACAAGUGUAAUUGUUUUGUUCCUGGCAGAUGUGUCCACUUCAGAGGAAUCUUAUCAAACCUCACCUGAUCAUUUUUUUAGUGUCCACCUCCUGGAACCUCAUUCCCCUGCUUCCGCAUAUGCUUGAUGGCCUCGUCUCAGCCUUAGAAAGAGAUUGGGCUCCUAUCCCUGAGUAUCUGCUCUCAGCAGGACUCACUGCUAGGGCUGUAAAAGACCUGACAGUCACCAGGUCCAGACCCUGCCCUAGGCUACACUAAUGGUUACCCUGGCAUACCUCUGGGUUAACUCUUUAAAACCUCCCCACUUGAAGGCAGGGGCUGACUCCUCUUGUUCAUGUUUGUCACCUCAAUGACCAGACACAGUGCACCUCACAGAAAGUGCUCAGUAUAUAUUUGUUCAAGAAAGAUUAACAAGUUUCUCCUUUAGUCAACCUCCCUCCUCCAAUCUUUCUGGCUGGAGCCUUUUCAUUAGUCUAAAUCUCUGCACUGUCAGGAGAGUCCAAUUGUUUGGUCCGUUCUCAGGGAAGGUUACCUCCUUGAAAAGACCUUCCCUGUGCUGCCACAUUAUAAUAAUAGAGGGCUGGGGAUAUAGCUCACUUGGUAGUUGCCUCACAUGCACAAGGCCCUGGGUUCAAUCCCUAGCACACAUCCCCACCCCCCACACAAUGGCAUAAUUUACUUCCUCCUCCUAACAUCUCUAAGAGAGAAGGACUGCCAUACCCCCUUCACAGCUGAGAAUACUAGAGUUAAAGAAGACUAGGUCCCUGGCCUAAGGUUCUAAGGAGUAUGAAACCUUCACAGAACUAAGUAACCCCACUUCCCUCCCACGAAGCUGGUUGAUCCCAGAGAAGAUGGGAGAAAAGUAUUCUGGUGACUUUUUCUUCCUUCCCACCCCUGGCCAGGGAAAUCCUACCCAUUUUCACUGAACAGGGCUAAAUGAUCCCAUAGACCCUCUCCUGCCCAAUAUCCACUCCCCCACCCCAGCUUAAAAAGCCAAUACUCACAGGGCUCCUCCUGCCCAGGCAAGGUGACUUGAUGUUUUUUUACACCAUCAAAUAGGAGCUCAGCACCACCUCUGCAAAGGAAGGCCAAAAAAGACAGCCAGGUGAGCUCCUGCAAACAGAACUAAGGAUGAAAACUAAGAUGAGAAUGGAAGAAGAACUAAGGAUGAGAAUGGAAGUAGAAGCCCAAGAGAUACAGAGACCAAAGUUCAGGAACAACAGGCACUGGUGACUAACUCUCAAAUGCGACUUCCUGCUGUGGUAAGGUAGGUAUAAGUAAUUUUUACUAAUAAUCAAGCAGACUGUUUGCCCCAGAAGCAGCCGAGUACACAGUUACAGAACAUUAGCUUUGGAGCUGCCAAUUCCAACAUGGAGACCAGGCUCCAUCUCUGCCAACCAGGGCAUGUGACUCCAUCUUCUCAUACCUUGAUCUUUCCAUCUGCAAAAAUGCUGAAAAGCCUUGUAAGACCUUCUGCAGAUCCUGUGCAUCUCAAAGUUUCCUCUGGCCAGGUGAGGUCUAGAAAUGACUCUGUCCCUGUCCCCUGCUGCUAGCCUGGUGGGCAUACCAUAGCACUGGAGGCUGAGAGUCCACUGAGCUCUCAGCCUCAGCUAGCAUCCACCAAGAGUAAUCCUGCCAUUUAUAAGAUGCUCCUCACCUUAUUUCAUCCUCAAGGCAUCACAGGGAAGAACUGGGAGGGAGGCAGAUAUCAUUAACUCCAUUUCAUAGAGAAGCAGGCUGGUUCCUGGAAAGGUCAAGUGACUUGUGCAAGGUCAGACAGGAAGCAGCUGCACUAAAAUAUGAAUCUAACUGGUUUCUGCUCAGCCCCAGCAGCCUUGCUGAAAAAUAAAUAAAUAAGAUUCCCCAAAGGUCAGAAAGCCCCCUGAGGGCAGUUUGGUUCAUUUCUGCAUCUCAACAUUGUGCCCUGGGAAGGCAGGAACAGUAGAGAUAAUCAGAGUAAAGUACAGAAGCCAGGACUCCUGAUGUGGGCAGCAGGAUUCUUUCAGUGCCCCAUACUCAUCUCCCUUUGGGUCUCCUGAUUCCCAUCUCAGACCUAACAUGGGUCUGACCUGAGAAGGCCCUAAUAGACUUGAUGGAUGGGAUACCUCCCAGCCUACCACCCUUUCCCAAUUUCAGGGAACAGAGAUGUCCUGAGACAGCCCACUGGGAGGCAAAGGCAAGGAAAGCAUUGUCAUGGGAGAAACAUGGGGCGACUGUCAUCCAAACAAGGUCACGCUUUGUUGAUGCAGAAAUGUGGAGGGGGAGCAGAGGCCCAUCUGUGGCUGUGUGCAGGGACAUUUCAGCUGCAAGCCCGCACAGAGCCUCCAUUUAUCUCUUUCCAAGAGCCUCAUUUUCUCCUGGGUAGGGGUUGGCACAUGUAGCAGCUGGGAUGGGGGAUGGUGACAGGCAAGGGGCUCAGGAAUUGGGGGUCAGAGAAGAUGGGUGGGAAGUGGAGGCACUGGGACCCAGGCAAACAACCAAGAGUGGCCAAAGCUGGUGGUGCCAGUCUCAGAGGCUGAGUCUGUUUUUUCCCUUUAUAAAUGGAUGAAGGCAGAACCAGUCUGGCUCAGAGAGUAACCUGUCACUACUGGGCUCACUGGGCCCCAGGGGAGGGGUUGACACUUCUGUCAGCACAUCUGGAGUGGGGGAAAGUGCACACCAAGCCUCUAGAGUGACCCUAGGAGGCAGACAAGGGGCCUGUUCUAGCCCCAUGGACCCAACCAAAUCUUCUUAUGUCUUACAGGAUUUGCUAUGCAACUCAACUAAGACCUCCAUCUUCUCUCCACGUGCCCAGACAUUCCUGCUGGAUGUCUGUUUAUACCAGUGUCAGAUACAGACAUUCCCAAAACUGUCUUCCUUCUACUAGUUCAUCUUCAUCGUCUUUAUCAUCUAUUCAUCUAUAUUUGGUUCUUUUUAAAAAAAAAUAUUACUUCA